Molecule: ribosomal RNA, 492 nt
Filed under: uncultured bacterium
Lineage: Bacteria
Description: partial 16S ribosomal RNA
Rfam family: Bacterial small subunit ribosomal RNA
Source: RNAcentral
AGUGAACGCUGGCGGUAGGCCUAACACAUGCAAGUCGAACGGCAGCACAGUAAGAGCUUGCUCUUACGGGUGGCGAGUGGCGGACGGGUGAGGAAUACAUCGGAAUCUACUUUUUCGUGGGGGAUAACGUAGGGAAACUUACGCUAAUACCGCAUACGACCUACGGGUGAAAGCAGGGGAUCUUCGGACCUUGCGCGAUUGAAUGAGCCGAUGUUGGAUUAGCUAGUUGGCGGGGUAAAGGCCCACCAAGGCGACGAUCCGUAGCUGGUCUGAGAGGAUGAUCAGCCACACUGGAACUGAGACACGGUCCAGACGACUAAGGGAGGCAGCAGUGGGGAAUAUUGGACAAUGGGCGCAAGCCUGAUCCAGCCAGACCGCGUGGGUGAAGAAGGCCUUCGGGUUGUAAAGACCUUUUGUUGGGAAAGAAAAGCAGCAGGUUAAUACCCAGCUGUUCUGACGGUACCCAAAGAAUAAGCACCGGCUAACUUCGUG